Molecule: ribosomal RNA, 253 nt
Filed under: uncultured bacterium
Lineage: Bacteria
Description: partial 16S ribosomal RNA
Rfam family: Bacterial small subunit ribosomal RNA
Source: RNAcentral
UACGAAGGACCCGAGCGUUAUCCGGAUUUAUUGGGUUUAAAGGGUGCGUAGGCGGAUUAGUAAGUCAGUGGUGAAAGCCCAUCGCUUAACGGUGGAACUGCCAUUGAUACUGCUAGUCUUGAGUAUGGUUGAGGUGGGCGGAAUGUGUCAUGUAGCGGUGAAAUGCUUAGAUAUGACCCAGAACACCAAUUGCGAAGGCAGGUGACUAAACCGUAACUGACGCUGAGGCACGAAAGCGUGGGGAUCAAACAGG